AUUGAACGCUGGCGGCAUGCCUUACACAUGCAAGUCGAACGGCAGCACGGGAGCAAUCCUGGUGGCGAGUGGCGAACGGGUGAGUAAUAUAUCGGAACGUGCCCAGUCGUGGGGAUAACGUAGCGAAAGCUACGCUAAUACCGCAUACGAUCUAUGGAUGAAAGCGGGGGAUCGCAAGACCUCGCGCGAUUGGAGCGGCCGAUAUCAGAUUAGGUAGUUGGUGAGGUAAAGGCUCACCAAGCCGACGAUCUGUAGCUGGUCUGAGAGGACGACCAGCCACACUGGGACUGAGACACGGCCCAGACUCCUACGGGAGGCAGCAGUGGGGAAUUUUGGACAAUGGGCGCAAGCCUGAUCCAGCAAUGCCGCGUGCAGGAUGAAGGCCUCGGUUGUAACUGCUUUGUACGG
Molecule: ribosomal RNA, 408 nt
Filed under: uncultured bacterium
Lineage: Bacteria
Description: bacterial SSU rRNA
Rfam family: Bacterial small subunit ribosomal RNA
Source: RNAcentral